GUGCUCGCUUCGGCAGCACAUAUACUAAAAUUGGAACGAUACAGAGAAGAUUAGCAUGGCCCCUGCGCAAAUAUAAUGCUCAAUAUUACUAGCCAUUAGAGAAACAC
This is a small nuclear RNA of Oryctolagus cuniculus (rabbit), 107 nucleotides long. Lineage: Eukaryota; Metazoa; Chordata; Mammalia; Lagomorpha; Leporidae. The record is from Ensembl.